RNAcentral lists this long non-coding RNA (280 nucleotides) under Gossypium raimondii (Peruvian cotton). Its description in RNAcentral is "long non-coding RNA (GRAI_LNC001768)". Lineage: Eukaryota; Viridiplantae; Streptophyta; Magnoliopsida; Malvales; Malvaceae. The record is from RNAcentral.
AGGGUUUGGAGCUGGUAUUCCAUAUUUUGGCUUCAAGUAAGUUUAAUUCUUGCUUUGUCCUUGAAAUUUUUAUAUUUCUAGACUUUUACAAUUAGGUCCAACUUAGUAUUCUACUAGUUUCUCAUUUUGUUGAAAGUUUUGGAAGAUACUAAUGAUAAGUUCAUAUGAUUUUUGUUAUUUUGUGAUGAAAUUGAGAUGUUAAUGGAUGUUUAAAGGUGUUUUAUUAAAGAAUUUUAGAUGAAAACAUGUUUUAGGGAUUAAAUUGAAAAGUAUUGAAAUC